Molecule: long non-coding RNA, 1744 nt
Filed under: Capsicum annuum
Lineage: Eukaryota; Viridiplantae; Streptophyta; Magnoliopsida; Solanales; Solanaceae
Description: long non-coding RNA (CANN_LNC004640)
Source: RNAcentral
CCAAUUCAAUUUCCAAUUUAUAAAAUUCUUUUAAUCUCAGUCGUGGAUCAGAAUCAAUUCAACGACUGAUAUCAUAUCACUCAUGCUUUCAUUUUAAACUCAAAAUAAAAUCCUAAUCCCUCAAAACAAUUCGCCUCUACCUUCUCUCUUCUUUCUCUCUCUAAAAGUCAGUCAUCACCGUCGUCUAAUGUCAUUUGUCUGAUGAGCCAUGAUGCUACUGCCUUCAUCGGCUAAACUAGCCAUUGGUGAACCACCAACGGGCACACCCACCCUUCUUUGUCCUUCUCCGACUAGCAACUGCCACUGCCACCGGCAACUCUCAUGUCGCACCCCUCUAUUUCUCCGUACGAAAACCCUUAACAAAACCAUCAUGUUGCCGCCGUCACAACAACAAUAAUACCUCCCAUCGUUGCUCCAUCCUCCUCAACUCUAGUGUCGCCGCUGCUGACCCAUUUUUUUUGGAAAAGUAAUGGGUUUUCAAAAUCCCAUCCUGUUAUGACCAAAUGUUUUUAUUUUUGUGUUUAAUUUUAAUUAUAUUAUACCUCUUUUUCCCUUUUCUUUGAGAUAUUUUAGAUUCAAAAUUAAUAAAGUGUGAUUGAUUUUUUUGUCUGAUUCUCUAUCAUUUGCGUUUAUUUAUAUGCUAAGACUAUCAUAUGUUAAAAGACUCAAUUUUCAUCAACUUUGACUAACCCUAAAUUUUUAAAUUGGGUAUUAAUUUGCCCAUCGUUAUUCUCUUGUCUAUCAAUUAUUAGUGAACUAAUCUGGUAGCAAUGAGUUAUGCAUAUGCUUGCCCUUCCGUUUAAAUUUGAUUUUAGAUUGAUUUUUGAUAUAAGUAGAUGAAUGUUAACUGAUUUCAUUGUAUACUGGAUAUGUGAUUUUUGAUAAAAUGUUUGAUAUUAGUUGAUUCACCCUUCUAAUUGGAAUAACUUGGUGCCUAGUUAAUUUUGGUAGGUUCUACUUUGAUUAUUUUUCACCCUUUAAAUGACAACUUUGUUACUUGAACAAAUAAGAUAGACAUAUGCUUUGCUCAAAUUCUUAGUAUUUAUACAGAUUUGGGUAGAUUGUAUGAGUUUAUCUAUGGUAAGUGAACACAAUUUCCUCUCCUUAAUUGAUUCAGUUUACUGAUUUUUUAGAAUAUUGUAUUUUUUUUAACUCCUAAUUGAUUCUUACCUAUUUUUUCCUCUUAACUCUUUAUUAUUUUCAUUUUAUAUAGAGCCCCUUCUUUCAUUGCAUGGAAAGACCUUUUUCCUCCUUUUUACAACCUUAAAAGAAAAGAAACAGACAACUAUAUUCCCUAAAGCAAACAUAAUUCACCACUUAAAAUUCUUUAGUGGUUUUUGGGUUUUGACGAAGCAUUCAGUUUACCUCAUUAUUGCAGUCACUUUGAUUAAACAUCUUAUUUACUCUUCCUUUGUCGUGUAUUGGUAAGUCUCUAUCGACGUAAAUUUCUUUUUGAUGACUCUAUGAUGGAACGUGUUUGAUUGUUAUAUCUUUGUUUCGGCGUUUCUGUGUUUGAAUCUUGUUGUAGUAUACUCGUCUGCCUUUUGUUCUUGCUUUGCUUUCUCAUUCAUGUCUAACAGGUGUAGCUAGUUGUUUUUUUAGAAUUUGAAGAGUCGCCGGACAUUUUAUGGAAAAAGGGGACUACUUAUGUCAUUACUAGUUUAGACUUGUCUUUCAUUCAUUGUACUGUAACAAAUAUUGUAAACCUUGUUAUGUAAUAGGAUUUACGGGACUGCAUGGGGGC